Molecule: ribosomal RNA, 433 nt
Filed under: uncultured bacterium
Lineage: Bacteria
Description: partial 16S ribosomal RNA
Rfam family: Bacterial small subunit ribosomal RNA
Source: RNAcentral
AACGAACGCUGGCGGCAUGCCUAACACAUGCAAGUCGAACGAGACCUUCGGGUCUAGUGGCGCACGGGUGCGUAACGCGUGGGAACCUGCCCUUAGGUUCGGAAUAACUCCCCGAAAGGGGUGCUAAUACCGGAUAAUGUCUUCGGACCAAAGAUUUAUCGCCUUUGGAUGGGCCCGCGUUGGAUUAGCUAGUUGGUAGGGUAAAAGCCUACCAAGGCGACGAUCCAUAGCUGGUCUGAGAGGAUGAUCAGCCACACUGGGACUGAGACACGGCCCAGACUCCCACGGGAGGCAGCCGUGGGGAAUAUUGGACAAUUGGCGGAAGCCUGAUCCAGCAAUUCCGCGGGAGGGAUUAAGGCCUUAGGGUUGGAAAGCUCUUUUACCCGGGAUGAUAAUGACAGUACCCGGAGAAUAAGCUCCGGCUAACUCCGUG